UAUUACGCGCUGAUAGCACGCGUGUUUUGCGCAUAUCCUACUCUCUUCUGCGGAUGCGCGUUGCCUUAUCCGUUGUGAUCGCGUGAUGUCUCUGCAUGUUUGGUGAGUUCGGCGGGUAGUUCUGCGUCGAUCGCUGUUUUAGGCAGACGUACUUCACGCGCGUGGUGUCAAUUUUUCACAUUUCAAUUUACAUAUCGCGUUUUAUUUGUUCGACAAUCGACUAUUUAGUGGUAGCUGGCAUGAUUGUUAUAGUCUAUUGUUAAUUUUAAUCGCGCGUUGAAUCUCAAUACUUAAGUGCUAGUUCUUUUUCGCGUGUGAUGUGCGAAUUGCAAUUCACAAUAUGCGUUCCUAACGCUCGGGAUGUUUACGGUUGUGGUGUUAUCGCCCGUUAUCGUGUGUUUUGCUGCUUGUUUGACUAACAGCGGUUUGUGGAUGAAUCGCAGCCAUGUUGAUUCGCUUCAUAUGGAGGACCAUGUACGCUUAAGUGCCUGUGCCUGUGCCUUAUAGCGCAUAAUGGACUAUGCCUUGCAAUUGGAGCAUUCUCCGUUAAAUGUACGUUCGAAGAUCGUUUUCUAACCCGGCUAUCAGUUGAGGUAUCCACCUUAUCCAUUUUCCAUUCCUCUGCGUGCUCACUGCGGAAAAAGGACUUUUAGCGUAAAAGUACCCACUGAUUCAUACAUCCGUGGCGCAUACACUGGAGAAUCACCUGAUAUUCGAUGUGAUAUCAUAUCAUCGAUUUUGCUACCACAUCAACCAAAUGGACCUUCCUCCUGGUGAAAAGCACCGGCUUUUCGAAGGGAUGCGAUACCUCUAUAACUCGUAAACCACAAACGCAUUCUUUUAGUUCACUUAUAAUUAGAAUUGUAUAUAUUUAGAGACCUUUGAUAAUUAAUUUGAUGAAUGCUUGUGGAAUAACAUGCAGUGUAAACUCUUUAUAACGAUACUUACUAAGAUUAGUUGAAUUAAGGACUGAUCUUACUCCAGCGAUUUAUCAGAAACUGACUUUGUACCUAUUUUUACGUCAUAAAAAAGGUUAUCAAGAGUUUACAUUGUAUUGUACACGUAAUCGCCUCAUGACUUUUACUGUAUCGCAUUAUUGCGUUAUAUUUGUGGGUAGUAUUGCGGAUAAGGGUAUUUGGUAAUUGCCGCACUACUGUUUAGCUCACGAAAGGGCGUCUGUAGAGAUGUUAAAUUAAAUUCUCGGUGGGGUUAUAUUAGUUUGUUGUAGGUGUGACUCCUUCAACAUUGGUAAAUUUGAAAAUUGGGUGGUUACGUGGGAUUUUCACAUAAAACGUGAAAUUGUUGAAGUUUUUUCGGUGUAGCUCGCGAGGGGCGGUUUGAAAUUUCCCCGCGGUUUCUAGAGAAGUUAAAUUAAAUUAUCCGUGGGGUUGUAUUAGUUUGUUGUAUGAGCGGCGCCUGCAAUAUUGGGAAAUUCUCAAAUUGGGUGGUUUAGUGGGUUUUUCAUAUAAAGGGUGAUAUUGUUGGAGUUUUUUGGGAAUAGCACGCGAGAUAGGCGAGUUCGAAAUUUUUCCGCGGUUUCUAGAGAAGUCAAAUUAAAUUCUCGGUGGCGUUAUAUUAGGUUGUUGUUGGAGUGACUCCUGCAACAUUGGUAAAUUCGAAAAUUGAGUGGUUAAGUGGGAUUGUCACAUGAAGGGUGAAAUUGUUUGGGUUUUUUCGUUGUAGCUCGCGAGGGGGGCGGCUUAGAAAUUUCGCCGCGGUCUCGAGUGAAGGCAAAUUAAAUUCUCCGUGGGUUUGUAUUAGUUUGUUGUAGGAGUGACGCCUGCAAUAUUGGUAAAUUCAAAAAUUGGGUGGUUAAGUGGAAUUUUCACAUGAAAGAGUGAAUUUGUUGGGGUGUUUUCGGUAUAUUGCGAAGGGAACGGUUUAGAAUUCUCAGCGCAGUUUCUAGAAAAAUUGAAUUAUAUUUUCGGCGCGGUUAUUAUUUUUUACAAAAGCUUCGGCUUCAUUCUGUUUUCCACAUUUCCUUUCUUUUGUGUCUUUUAUGUUAUCCAUGUAGAACCUGAGAUUAUGUUUAAUUGUGUUAUUUUUCCUAUGUGCUACUGUGUAAUCUACUUGUGUUGUCUAUGUAGAAUGUGUUUCCAUAUGUAGAUGUUUUGUAUAUUUUGUUCUUGUAAGAUGCAUUGUGUAGUUGUAGUAGUUGUAGUAGUGUAGUUGUAGUGUGUAGUUGUACACUGUAGUUGUUCGUGUUUGUGUGUGUUUAAAUGUUUGCUUGCACCUUGUGUUGUGCGUUUUAAUAUAUCUACUGUUGUUGUUGUAUGUAAAUUAAAGUACAGAACUGUAAAUAGUCAAUUCAAAAUAUCAUUUUACUUUUCAUCAACAAGUUUAUUAGGUAGCCAUUUACUGCUAUGAACGUGUUGUCAUGUGUCGGAAAUAGCGUUUAACAUUUUAACUGCAAUAUGACGGUACAGAAUCGGCACGAUGGUGGUGAUACAUAACGUCAUCGUGAUGAUGCAAAUGUGACGAACCUAAUCAUAUUUAUUUUGUGAUACCUAUUUAAACUUUGCGAAACUAAUGGUAGGAUAGGAUUUUAAUUUAUUUUUAAAAUGUUUGACAAAUAAGCUAGUUGUGAAGUGAUAUACUUAAUUUUAUUACUUUCAUUGUUGAAUACGUAAUCCAUUUUGUAUAAUUUAAAAAUAUUUAUUUAUUUAAAGUUAUACGUGAUUUUUCUGGAUUUACAUUUUAUAUAUUGAGUUGACAUGUGUCGCCCUGAGGGCAUCUUCAUAAACUGUUAAUUAUUUAGGAUUAUUGGAACACAAGCACAUCACAACAUCACAAGCAGAGCGUUACUCAAAUCAAAUUGAAUGAAUCAAAAGUAAUAAAUACUACCCUGAUGCUUUUAA
Long non-coding RNA from Dalotia coriaria, 2858 nucleotides. RefSeq lists it as uncharacterized. The transcript is spliced from 4 exons. Lineage: Eukaryota; Metazoa; Arthropoda; Insecta; Coleoptera; Staphylinidae. The record is from RefSeq and is a predicted model, not a curated record.